RNAcentral lists this ribosomal RNA (405 nucleotides) under uncultured bacterium. Its description in RNAcentral is "partial 16S ribosomal RNA". It matches the Rfam family "Bacterial small subunit ribosomal RNA", at positions 30 to 526 of the family's 1533-position model. The record is from RNAcentral.
AUUGAACGCUAGCGGCAUGCUUAACACAUGCAAGUCGAACGAGUGGCGGACGGGUGAGUAAUAUAUGGGAACGUGCCCAGUAGCGGGGGAUAACUACUCGAAACAGUAGCUAAUACCGCAUACUAUUGGAUCGGCCCAUAUCGGAUUAGCUAGUGGGUGGGGUAAUGGCUCACCAAGGCCACGAUCCGUAGCUGGUGUGAGAGGAUGACCAGCCACACUGGGACGGAGACACGGUCCAGACUCCUACGGGAGGCAGCAGUGGUGAAUAUUGGACAAUGGUGGAAACCCUGAUCCAGCCAUGCCGCGUGUGUGAGAAGGCCUUCGGGUUGGAAAGUACUUUUGGCGGUGAUGCGGUAUUUGCAGAAGAAGCACCGGCUAACUACGUGCCAGCAGCCGCGGUAAUAC